AGUGAACGCUGGCGGUAGGCCUAACACAUGCAAGUCGAACGGCAGCACAGUAAGAGCUUGCUCUUACGGGUGGCGAGUGGCGGACGGGUGAGGAAUACAUCGGAAUCUACUUUUUCGUGGGGGAUAACGUAGGGAAAUUUACGCUAAUACCGCAUACGACCUACGGGUGAAAGCAGGGGAUCUUCGGACCUUGCGCGAUUGAAUGAGCCGAUGUCGGAUUAGCUAGUUGGCGGGGUAAAGGCCCACCAAGGCGACGAUCCGUAGCUGGUCUGAGAGGAUGAUCAGCCACACUGGAACUGAGACACGGUCCAGACUCCUACGGGAGGCAGCAGUGGGGAAUAUUGGACAAUGGGCGCAAGCCUGAUCCAGCCAUACCGCGUGGGUGAAGAAGGCCUUCGGGUUGUAAAGCCCUUUUGUUGGGAAAGAAAAGCAGCAGGUUAAUACCCCGCUGUUCUGGCGGUACCCAAAGAAUAAGCACCGGCUAACUUCGUG
This 492-nucleotide ribosomal RNA is filed under the name uncultured bacterium. RNAcentral's name for it is "partial 16S ribosomal RNA". It matches the Rfam family "Bacterial small subunit ribosomal RNA", at positions 29 to 507 of the family's 1533-position model. The record is from RNAcentral.